UUCCAGGAACUUGAUACUAAAUUUGGGACUCUUUGCUGCGGGAGUUUGGCUGGCCAGGAACUUGAGUGACAUUGACCUCAUGGCACCUCAGCCAGGGGUGUAGCCAAGUAGUUCUAAUGCCACCUGUUGUCUUAUCCGAUUGCAGACAAAUGGAAUCCUGUGCUGAACCCGAAUCUUCCAAAAAACAGCCUACAAUCUGUGACCACCACAAGAUGUGCCCUGAUGGCAGCUGAAGUUUGAUUCAGAUGGGCACUUUUCUUCCCUCUCCCUGCCUAGUUUCCUUUUGUUCCUUGAGUCCACGCAGAAUUCCAUUCUCUGGCCAGCAGACAGGCUUAAGCUAAAGUA
Mandrillus leucophaeus (drill) is the source of this 345-nucleotide long non-coding RNA. RefSeq lists it as uncharacterized. NCBI's taxonomy places the organism in Eukaryota, Metazoa, Chordata, Mammalia, Primates, Cercopithecidae. The record is from RefSeq and is a predicted model, not a curated record. The transcript is spliced from 2 exons.